RNAcentral lists this ribosomal RNA (56 nucleotides) under Kribbella albertanoniae. Its description in RNAcentral is "partial 23S ribosomal RNA". Lineage: Bacteria; Bacillati; Actinomycetota; Actinomycetes; Propionibacteriales; Kribbellaceae. The record is from RNAcentral.
UGACAAGCUACUAAGGGCAAUCGGUGGAUGUCUUGGCACCAAGAGCCGAUGAAGGA